AGUGAACGCUGGCGGUAGGCCUAACACAUGCAAGUCGAACGGCAGCACAGUAAGAGCUUGCUCUUACGGGUGGCGAGUGGCGGACGGGUGAGGAAUCCAUCGGAAUCUACUUUUUCGUGGGGGAUAACGUAGGGAAACUUACGCUAAUACCGCAUGCGACCUACGGGUGAAAGCAGGGGAUCUUCGGACCUUGCGCGAUUGAAUGAGCCGAUGUCGGAUUAGCUAGUUGGCGGGGUAAAGGCCCACCAAGGCGACGAUCCGUAGCUGGUCUGAGAGGAUGAUCAGCCACACUGAAACUGAGACACGGUCCAGACUCCUACGGGAGGCAGCAGUGGGGAAUAUUGGACAAUGGGCGCAAGCCUGAUCCAGCCAUACCGCGUGGGUGAAGAAGGCCUUCGGGUUGUAAAGCCCUUUUGUUGGGAAAGAAAAGCAGCAGGAUAAUACCCCGCUGUUCUGACGGUACCCAAAGAAUAAGCACCGGCUAACUUCGUG
RNAcentral lists this ribosomal RNA (492 nucleotides) under uncultured bacterium. RNAcentral describes it as "partial 16S ribosomal RNA". It matches the Rfam family "Bacterial small subunit ribosomal RNA", at positions 29 to 507 of the family's 1533-position model. The record is from RNAcentral.